UACGUAGGGAGCAAGCGUUGUCCGGAAUCAUUGGGCGUAAAGCGCGCGUAGGCGGCCCUGUAAGUCCGUUGUGAAAGUCAAAGGCUCAACCUUUGAAAGCCGAUGGAUACUGCAGGGCUGGAGUCCGGAAGAGGCGAGUGGAAUUCCUGGUGUAGCGGUGGAAUGCGCAGAUGUCAGGAGGAACACCAAUAGCGAAGGCGGCUCGCUGGGACGGUACUGACGCUGAGGCGCGAAAGCGUGGGGAGCGAACAGG
This 253-nucleotide ribosomal RNA is filed under the name uncultured bacterium. RNAcentral describes it as "partial 16S ribosomal RNA". It matches the Rfam family "Bacterial small subunit ribosomal RNA", at positions 524 to 776 of the family's 1533-position model. The record is from RNAcentral.